This 539-nucleotide unclassified non-coding RNA is filed under the name Bombus terrestris (buff-tailed bumblebee). Its description in RNAcentral is "misc RNA ENSBTSG00005038348.1". The record is from RNAcentral. Lineage: Eukaryota; Metazoa; Arthropoda; Insecta; Hymenoptera; Apidae.
ACGUGCGAUCGAAACGGAAGGAUCGGAACGAAAGCACACCACAGGUGCAGAAAUUGAAAGUUUAAUUAAACCGAAUAGAUCGGUAACAAACGAAACGAAAAGAAACAUUUUGUUUCCCUUCUCGUUUCGAGCUGUAGAAUAUAAGGUGCGGCGCGGAACGGCACGUCAUUUAUUUUUGCUCGCCUCCAUCAUAUCUGUCAUAAAAAUAUUUCUGCCGUAACGGAUAGGACGUACCAAGAGAAAAACGCGUUCUCGUUCAACAAUACCUGAUAUUUGCUCGACUGUUUCCAGUAAAUUAAAACAGGAAUAUCGGUGAAGAGAUAGAUAUACUAAUUAAACGUGAACGACCAUCGAGAAUACGGCGUCUUGAAACGACAGAACGAAAGAAAGAAGGAGGUUGUUCCUCCGGGAGAAGAAGAAGUUAUCGUAAUAAAAAUGGAGAAAAGGUACAACGAAGUAGCCUCUCUUUAUGCAAUUUAGCGAGACCAUUCGUUCCACUCGAUUCAAGUGGAAGUGUAAAGUGCUCGACCGACCGGUAC